GAUGAACGCUGGCGGCGUGCCUAAUACAUGCAAGUCGAGCGAACGGACGAGAAGCUUGCUUCUCUGAUGUUAGCGGCGGACGGGUGAGUAACACGUGGAUAACCUACCUAUAAGACUGGGAUAACUUCGGGAAACCGGAGCUAAUACCGGAUAAUAUUUUGAACCGCAUGGUUCAAUAGUGAAAGACGGUCUUGCUGUCACUUCUAGAUGGAUCCGCGCUGCAUUAGCUAGUUGGUAAGGUAACGGCUUACCAAGGCAACGAUGCAUAGCCGACCUGAGAGGGUGAUCGGCCACACUGGAACUGAGACACGGUCCAGACUCCUACGGGAGGCAGCAGUAGGGAAUCUUCCGCAAUGGGCGAAAGCCUGACGGAGCAACGCCGCGUGAGUGAUGAAGGUCUUCGGAUCGUAAAACUCUGUUAUUAGGGAAGAACAUAUGUGUAAGUAACUGUGCACAUCUUGACGGUACCUAAUCAGAAAGCCACGGCUAACUACGUG
Molecule: ribosomal RNA, 497 nt
Filed under: uncultured bacterium
Lineage: Bacteria
Description: partial 16S ribosomal RNA
Rfam family: Bacterial small subunit ribosomal RNA
Source: RNAcentral